Molecule: ribosomal RNA, 426 nt
Filed under: uncultured bacterium
Lineage: Bacteria
Description: bacterial SSU rRNA
Rfam family: Bacterial small subunit ribosomal RNA
Source: RNAcentral
GGGGAAUUUUGCGCAAUGGGGGAAACCCUGACGCAGCAACGCCGCGUGGGUGAUGAAGGCCUUCGGGUCGUAAAGCCCUGUCGGGAGGGAAGAAAUGAUUGAGGGCUAAUACCUCUUGAUCUUGACGGUACCUCCGAAGGAAGCACCGGCUAACUCCGUGCCAGCAGCCGCGGUAAUACGGAGGGUGCAAGCGUUGUUCGGAAUUAUUGGGCGUAAAGCGCGUGUAGGCGGUCUUUUAAGUCUGAUGUGAAAGCCCCGGGCUCAACCUGGGAAGUGCAUUGGAAACUGGGAGACUUGAGUACGGGAGAGGAGAGUGGAAUUCCUAGUGUAGGAGUGAAAUCCGUAGAUAUUAGGAGGAACACCGGUGGCGAAGGCGGCUCUCUGGACCGAUACUGACGCUGAGACGCGAAAGCGUGGGUAGCAAAC